Acanthopagrus latus (yellowfin seabream) is the source of this 797-nucleotide long non-coding RNA. RefSeq lists it as uncharacterized. NCBI's taxonomy places the organism in Eukaryota, Metazoa, Chordata, Actinopteri, Spariformes, Sparidae. The transcript is spliced from 5 exons. The record is from RefSeq and is a predicted model, not a curated record.
AGAUAUACAUGCACAGACGCAGACCUACAUACCUUCUUUCUCCCCUCUGCUGCCUCCUGCCAAAAAGCGGGACACCAGUGGAGUGCUCGACAGGGACAGGCAUGUAGAAAUGAAGACAGUCUGUGUGGGUCGUAUAUGCAGGACUUGUCCCCACAACAAACCAGCCCCCACCAUCAGCAGACUCAGGUUGCUCACCUUGCGAAGUCGCUCAGGUGAGAACUCCAGUCCCACCACAAAGAGAGUGAAGAAGACGCCUAACUCCCCCAGAGUCUCCACCUGGACCAUAGACUGCAAGGCAGAGAGACAGAGGCCGAAAUGAACAACCAGUGCAACAAACUGCCUCCCUGAGGGCCUCCAGCCUCUGCCUGCUGCUCUCCUUCAUGUUGACCACGUCCCUGUAGUCUCCCUGCAGCGCCCUCUGCAGGCUGUGCACCGCCUGGAACACCAGGUGUUCGCUCUCAUUCAGCUCCUUCUGGAAAACCUCCAGCGUGUGAACCUGAACGCGGGCGAGGAGACAACCUUCAGUCGGCCUGGAUUGAAUUCUGGUUUGACCUGAUUGUUAGUUUUUGCUCAAAUCUAACCAGGCCAUCGGAUCUCAAGUAUGAAAUACGAACAUGGAGGCUAUUAUUGUUGAACUAUUGUGCAAACAGAAUUGUGUCAACACACAGACAAAGACACCACAUUGAAGACUUACAGACGUUGUGUCUCACACACUUUGUGCUUUACCAGUCCAUAAAUAUACAGCUAAACAGUCACUAACAAAUCACUGCAUUACGACCCAAAUAAAGAGCUUUUGG